ACGAACGCUGGCGGCAUGGAUUAGGCAUGCAAGUCGAACGGUUAACAGGGGCAACUCUGUUGAUAGUGGCGAAAGGGUGAGGAACGCGUGAGUAACCUGCCUUCAAGUCGGGAAUAGCCCCGGGAAACUGGGAUUAACACCGGAUGUGGUGAUAGGAUCGCAUGAUCUUAUGACUAAAAAUUUAUUGCUUGAAGAGGGGCUCGCGUCCCAUUAGCUAGUUGGUGAGGUAACGGCCCACCAAGGCUGUGAUGGGUAGCUGGUCUGAGAGGACGACCAGCCACACUGGGACUGAGACACUGCCCAGACUCCUACGGGAGGCUGCAGUCGAGAAUCUUCCGCAAUGCGCGAAAGCGUGACGGAGCAAUGCCGCGUGCAGGACGAAGGCCUUCGGGUCGUAAACUGCUGUCACCGGGGAAGAAAAAAAUGACGGUACCCGGAGAGGAAGUCACGGCUAACUACGU
Molecule: ribosomal RNA, 461 nt
Filed under: uncultured bacterium
Lineage: Bacteria
Description: bacterial SSU rRNA
Rfam family: Bacterial small subunit ribosomal RNA
Source: RNAcentral